AAUUGACCCAUUCCAUGGAAAAAGAUAGUCAGAAUCCUACUUUGCUCCAAACACAAAAAUAAGUUCCAGAUGGAUUAAUAACAACCUAAAUGUGAAAAGCAGACUUUACAACUUAGAAGAAAAUAUAGGAAUCUACCCUGAUGAUACUGGAGUAGGAUGGAUUUCUUCAAACAGAAAAAGCACAAAUGAAUAAGAAAAAGGUUUUUGAAGAACCCUCCAUCAGCCUUUUUGCUCUGGAGCAUUGUGAGGGAAGAGAGUUACAUCUAGAAGAGGCUGUGAACUCUGUUCUGAACAAGGACCUGCAUUUCUACACCCAGUCUGUGUGGGUAAAAAGUGGACUAUGGAUAGCUUAUGAAGGAUCCAAUUUCUUGGGAAGACAAAUCCUACUCAGGCCUAAUGAGAUCCCAAACUGGACAGCAUUCAGCAGAUGGAAAACAAUUGGUUCCCUCCGUCCUAUGAAGCAGCCUGCAGUGUAUAUCAGAAUAAAGAACCGUGCCCAGGAUGAAUAUCUGACAGUCACUGGAAAUCUAGCAGACACCAGGGCAACAUCUGUGUGCAUUUCUCCCUAUAGUGGAAAGAAUACUCAGAUCUGGCACUACUGCCGAGGACUCUUUAAAUCCAAGGCCAGUGAUACAUGUCUUGAUGUGAUUGGUGGCCGGGACACACCUGGAGCUAAAGUAGCUCUAUGGACUGAACAUGGGCAAUUCAGGCAGAAGUGGAGACUGAAUAAAAAUGGAACUAUCAGCUCUUAUCUCAGUGAUCAACUUGUCCUUGAUGUUAAAGGAGGAAAUUAUUGUGACAAGACUCAUGUAAUUGUAAAUCAGCCCUUGGAGGGAGAAGAAACACAGAAAUGGGACAUUGAAAUAUUGUGAGAGACUCAACAUCCCUAGAAAGAGCGAAGAAGGAAACUCACAUCUGUCAUUGUCUUGUGGACGUGGAAAGGAAGCUACUGUCCUCACACUCCUGGAUCACUGAGCAGAAUGAACAUUUUCUCCAGCCUCUCAGACUAUCGCUCUUAACCAUGGAAAAGCUCAAAAUAUUCUUGCCAUUACUCAGUGUUGCUAUAAAGAAAAUAUUAUGAUGUCUGGGAAAGGUUCUAUUCCUGAUCUCCAGCUGUGAGCCAAAGAAGCUCUUUAAAGAAGUUGUUUCUUCCAAAGAACAAAGCCAGGUUAAUGACAUUCAAUUCUAAAUGACACAUUGGAAUUGUGCCUUUUCUACCACACUGGAUUAAAUAAACUUGUC
This 1242-nucleotide small RNA is filed under the name Pongo abelii (Sumatran orangutan). Its description in RNAcentral is "processed transcript". The record is from RNAcentral. Lineage: Eukaryota; Metazoa; Chordata; Mammalia; Primates; Hominidae.